UGCCAGCAGCCGCGGUAAUACGGAGGGAGCGAGCGUUAAUCGGAAUUACUGGGCGUAAAGCGCGCGUAGGCGGCUUUGUAAGUCGGAUGUGAAAGCCCUGGGCUCAACCUGGGAAUGGCAUUCGAUACUGCAUGGCUAGAGUAUGGUAGAGGGAAGUGGAAUUUCCGGUGUAGCGGUGAAAUGCGUAGAUAUCGGAAGGAACACCAGUGGCGAAGGCGACUCACUGGCACAUUUCUGACGCUGAGGCGCGAAAGCGUGGGGAGCAAACAGGAUUAGAUA
This 279-nucleotide ribosomal RNA is filed under the name uncultured bacterium. RNAcentral describes it as "partial 16S ribosomal RNA". It matches the Rfam family "Bacterial small subunit ribosomal RNA", at positions 506 to 784 of the family's 1533-position model. The record is from RNAcentral.